GUGUAUAACUUGUUCUAAAUUCCUUUGUAAUAGGCCCAAUUUGCCCGGCCCGUAAUAAAAAAAUCAAAUCAAAAUAAAAAAAUUUAAAGUCCAAAAAAAAAUGACGUCAGUCCAAUUACAGCCCAAAAUAAUUUAACCCAUACCCAAUCUAAAUCCCUAAAACAGUGGCCCAAUUACAAUAUGGCCCAAUGACCAAAUAGUUUCUACAAACCCUAGAGACCAAAAC
RNAcentral lists this long non-coding RNA (226 nucleotides) under Gossypium raimondii (Peruvian cotton). RNAcentral describes it as "long non-coding RNA (GRAI_LNC003682)". Lineage: Eukaryota; Viridiplantae; Streptophyta; Magnoliopsida; Malvales; Malvaceae. The record is from RNAcentral.